Molecule: non-coding RNA, 1182 nt
Organism: Nylanderia fulva
Lineage: Eukaryota; Metazoa; Arthropoda; Insecta; Hymenoptera; Formicidae
Source: RefSeq, a predicted model, not a curated record
UGUAAUUAUUAAUUUAAAUUCUUCUUUAAUUAAAAUCUAAAGUUAAAAUUAAGCUUUCAACAAUCUAGCACGAUAUCAUAAUCCUUCUUGUUUUAAGAUGUCUCAUCCUUAUCCAUCUAUCUCUCGUAUUAUGGAUGGUAUUUGUUCAGCACAUGGCGAUAAAAAAGCAAUAAUUUAUAAGUAAUAUGUUACAAUGAAAUGGCAUAAAAUAUCAAACUUACCGAAUGAGAUCGCAAAUCGACGAUUCUGAAGAGAUCAGUGUCGCAGCCACCGCAAGCGACAUACAAAUUUGUCACGUACUUUCCGGUGUAUAACAAACAAGGAUAACUGUCUGGUUCCAAGUUAACAAUCAGUUUGCCACUGCCGUAGUCCCAUAGUUGCAAAGGAUUAUUCUUUCGCCAGGAACAAGUAAGGAUCUGUUACAAAGGGAGAGUCGUUUAAUUCUACAGAUGUUAUAAAAAAAUUUAUGCUACAUAAAUAUUCACAUAUGAUAUAAUAAAGCUGCUGUAAUUGAGUAUACAUCAGAGAAAGAAACAUGUAAUAAAUCAACGAGUCGCUGAAUAUACCUCUCUUCCAUUUGUACUAAUGUCCAGACCAUCUCCACACAUAUGUACACCAGAUAUAAAUCGAAGGGAAUGAGCUUGUCUGGUGUCCCAGAACUGAACGGUGUCGUCCCAACCGGCGCUUAUUAUCUCGUGCACGGAUUUAGGAUGGAAGCAGGCACUGAAGACUCUGGAUUUAUGGCCAUCCAUGAUAUCCGGUGAAUCACUACAUACGAAACGUAUUACGUACAAUUGAUUGAUAAUACUGAUAUUGCCGACCAAUUGAUAGUGAUGCUCCAGAUCAGAAUGUGUACCGGGGACAGCGGCGGAAGUUUCUAUUAAAGCUGAUGUAGGAGAAUAUCCUUCGGUGACGGUGGAUGUCACCGAAGGUGAUGGUGUCACAUCGAAAUCAACAUUGUCUUGGUCAGAUGAAUCGAUGGUUGCGAGAGAAAGUUGCUCCUUAAUACUGUCCUUAUCCAUCUAAAAAAUCACGGAAAUAAAGUCACAAAUGAUUUUUUAUUGAGACGUUAUAUAACUAAAAUAAAAAGAAAAAAUGAAAUAAAAAAUGCACAGAUAGAGAAACUAUAAUUUUCCUCAUUAGAAAUUAUUUUAUUCAAAAUAAAGUUUAAACGAAUUUAUA